Molecule: ribosomal RNA, 458 nt
Filed under: uncultured bacterium
Lineage: Bacteria
Description: partial 16S ribosomal RNA
Rfam family: Bacterial small subunit ribosomal RNA
Source: RNAcentral
CCUACGGGUGGCAGCAGUGAGGAAUAUUGGUCAAUGGGCGAGAGCCUGAACCAGCCAAGUCGCGUGAGGGAGUACUGCCCUAUGGGUUGUAAACCUCUUUUGUCGGGGAGCAAAAGCCGGACGUGUCCGGCUGUGAGAGUACCCGCAGAAAAAGCAUCGGCUAACUCCGUGCCAGCAGCCGCGGUAAUACGGAGGAUUCGAGCGUUAUCCGGAUUUAGUGGGUUUAAAGGGUGCGCAGGCGGAUUUUUAAGUCAGCGGGCAAAUCGUGGGGCACAACCCGAUCCAGCGGUUGAAACUGGGGAUCUAGAGUGUGCGAGAGGUAUGCGGAAUGCGUGGUGUAGCGGUGAAAUGCAUAGAUAUCACGCAGAACCCCGAUUGCGAAGGCAGCAUGCCGGUGCACAACUGACGCUGAGGCACGAAAGCGUGGGUAUCGAACAGGAUUAGAUACCCCGGUAGUC